CCUACGGGAGGCAGCAGUCGAGAAUCAUUCACAAUGGGGGAAACCCUGAUGGUGCGACGCCGCGUGGGGGAAUGAAGGUCUUCGGAUUGUAAACCCCUGUCAUGUGGGAGCAAAUUAAAAAGAUAGUACCACAAGAGGAAGAGACGGCUAACUCUGUGCCAGCAGCCGCGGUAAUUCAGAGGUCUCAAGCGUUGUUCGGAAUCACUGGGCGUAAAGGGUGCGUAGGCUGUUUCGUAAGUCGUGUGUGAAAGGCGCGGGCUCAACCCGCGGACGGCACAAGAUACUGCGAGACUAGGGGAAUGGAGGGGGAACCGGAAUUCUCGGGGGAGGAGGGAAAUGCGUAGAUAGCGAGAGGAAAACUCGGGGCGGAGGGGGGUUCCUGGACAUUAACUGACGCUGAGGCACGAAGGCCAGGGGAGCGAAAGGGAAUAGAUACCCGGGUAGUC
Molecule: ribosomal RNA, 446 nt
Filed under: uncultured bacterium
Lineage: Bacteria
Description: partial 16S ribosomal RNA
Rfam family: Bacterial small subunit ribosomal RNA
Source: RNAcentral